AUUGAACGCUGGCGGCAGGCCUAACACAUGCAAGUCGAACGAGCGGCGGACGGGUGAGUAAUGUAUGGGGAACUGCCCGAUGGAGGGGGAUAACUACUGGAAACGGUAGCUAAUACCGCAUACCAUCGGAUGUACCCAUAUGGGAUUAGCUAGUAGGUGGGGUAAUGGCUCACCUAGGCGACGAUCCCUAGCUGGUCUGAGAGGAUGAUCAGCCACACUGGAACUGAGACACGGUCCAGACUCCUACGGGAGGCAGCAGUGGGGAAUAUUGCACAAUGGGCGCAAGCCUGAUGCAGCCAUGCCGCGUGUAUGAAGAAGGCCUUAGGGUUGUAAAGUACUUUCAGCGAGGAGGCGUUACUCGCAGAAGAAGCACCGGCUAACUCCGUGCCAGCAGCCGCGGUAAUUC
RNAcentral lists this ribosomal RNA (406 nucleotides) under uncultured bacterium. RNAcentral's name for it is "partial 16S ribosomal RNA". It matches the Rfam family "Bacterial small subunit ribosomal RNA", at positions 30 to 526 of the family's 1533-position model. The record is from RNAcentral.